RNAcentral lists this ribosomal RNA (407 nucleotides) under uncultured bacterium. Its description in RNAcentral is "bacterial SSU rRNA". It matches the Rfam family "Bacterial small subunit ribosomal RNA", at positions 355 to 774 of the family's 1533-position model. RNAcentral also lists the same sequence under 1 other name. The record is from RNAcentral.
UGGGGAAUAUUGGACAAUGGGCGAAAGCCUGAUCCAGCAACGCCGCGUGAGGGAUGACGGCCUUCGGGUUGUAAACCUCUUUCAGCAGGGACGAAGCGCAAGUGACGGUACCUGCAGAAGAAGCACCGGCCAACUACGUGCCAGCAGCCGCGGUAAUACGUAGGGUGCAAGCGUUGUCCGGAAUUAUUGGGCGUAAAGGGCUCGUAGGCGGUCCAUCGCGUCGGGAGUGAAAAGCUGGGGCUUAACCCCAGUCCUGCUUCCGAUACGGGUGGACUAGAGGUAGGUAGGGGAGAUCGGAAUUCCUGGUGUAGCGGUGAAAUGCGCAGAUAUCAGGAGGAACACCGGUGGCGAAGGCGGAUCUCUGGGCCUUACCUGACGCUGAGGAGCGAAAGCAUGGGGAGCAAACA